AUUGAACGCUGGCGGCAGGCCUAACACAUGCAAGUCGAACGGUAACAGGAAACAGCUUGCUGUUUCGCUGACGAGUGGCGGACGGGUGAGUAAUGUCUGGGAAACUGCCUGAUGGAGGGGGAUAACUACUGGAAACGGUAGCUAAUACCGCAUAACGUCGCAAGACCAAAGAGGGGGACCUUCGGGCCUCUUGCCAUCGGAUGUGCCCAGAUGGGAUUAGCUAGUAGGUGGGGUAACGGCUCACCUAGGCGACGAUCCCUAACUGGUCUGAGAGGAUGACCAGCCACACUGGAACUGAGACACGGUCCAGACUCCUACGGGAGGCAGCAGUGGGGAAUAUUGCACAAAGGGCGCAAGCCUGAUGCAGCCAUGCCGCGUGUAUGAAGAAGGCCUUCGGGUUGUAAAGUACUUUCAGCGGGGAGGAAGGGAGUAAAGUUAAUACCUUUACUCAUUGACGUUACCCGCAGAAGAAGCACCGGCUAACUCCGUG
RNAcentral lists this ribosomal RNA (490 nucleotides) under uncultured bacterium. Its description in RNAcentral is "partial 16S ribosomal RNA". It matches the Rfam family "Bacterial small subunit ribosomal RNA", at positions 30 to 507 of the family's 1533-position model. The record is from RNAcentral.